GAUGAACGCUGGCGGCGUGCCUAAUACAUGCAAGUCGAGCGAACAGACGAGGAGCUUGCUCCUCUGACGUUAGCGGCGGACGGGUGAGUAACACGUGGAUAACCUACCUAUAAGACUGGGAUAACUUCGGGAAACCGGAGCUAAUACCGGAUAAUAUAUUGAACCGCAUGGUUCAAUAGUGAAAGACGGUUUUGCUGUCACUUAUAGAUGGAUCCGCGCCGCAUUAGCUAGUUGGUAAGGUAACGGCUUACCAAGGCAACGAUGCGUAGCCGACCUGAGAGGGUGAUCGGCCACAUUGGAACUGAGCCACGGUCCAGACUCCUACGGGAGGCAGCAGUAGGGAAUGUUACGCAAUGGGCGAAAGCCUGACGGAGCAACGCCGCGUGAGUGACGAAGGUCUUCGGAUCGUAAAACUCUGUUAUUAGGGAAGAACAAAUGUGUAAGUAAAUAUGCACGUCUUGACGGUACCUAAUCAGAAAGCCACGGCUAACUACGUG
RNAcentral lists this ribosomal RNA (497 nucleotides) under uncultured bacterium. RNAcentral describes it as "partial 16S ribosomal RNA". It matches the Rfam family "Bacterial small subunit ribosomal RNA", at positions 28 to 507 of the family's 1533-position model. The record is from RNAcentral.